Molecule: non-coding RNA, 12871 nt
Organism: Coturnix japonica (Japanese quail)
Lineage: Eukaryota; Metazoa; Chordata; Aves; Galliformes; Phasianidae
Source: RefSeq, a predicted model, not a curated record
AGUGACCAGAAGGGGUGGAGCCAGGAUCUACCCCUUCCCAGACCUCAUUUAAGGGUUGGCAGUGGAAGCAAAGGUAUCUUGCUGGAGAUCCCUGUGUACCUGAAGGCUUCCAAAGGUGAGCAAAUUGUUUUUUUCCUUUGUUCCUGUGUUUACAGCUGCUGCAUUUGAGCAUAUGGCAUGCUACAGAGCUAGCAAUUGCUUGAAAUGGGGUCAGCAGAACCCAAGGCUGCCUGCAUCCAUUGUCCCAGGGCUCUUCUUGCAGGGGAGGACUCACAUCACCCCUCCACAAGGGCUUUAAGUCUCAGAGAAGGCAGAAGUUUCUCCUUUGACAGUGCUGACCUCCAGCCAGUGGCCAAAAAAUCUGCAGUUUUGCAGGCAUGAAUUCUGCUCCUCAUUUACCUCCUCUUUGUAAAUGCUCUCCACUGCAAACAGCCUCCUUUGUCAGGUCUGUAAGGGUGUUUCAAGAAACCAAGUUAUUUUUAUAGCUUAUGACAUGUCUGCAGCUCUCAGCUGCCCAGCAUUAGUAAACAAGGCUACUGAGCUACUCCCAGCUCCAAUGGCUUGUGGAGUGAUUAAGAACAGCUUUAAUUUGAGGUCUGCAGCUCCUAAAGGAUUGAUGAAAUAUAUAUAGCAAUUGCCAGCUCCACCUCUGGAAGCCAAACGUUUUCCAGAUGAUUAAUGGCACCCAUUUCCUUCCUCUCCCUGCCACCAAAGAAGGCAGAUUCCCUGUAAAGUCUAACCAGUGCCUGGCUCACGUUUUAAGUGUGAUGCUGUAACACAAAGGGAAAUGCAGCAAUGGUAGUGGAAUAGCAAAGUCCUGGGCUGCAGGAAGUUCUCUCUACCCUGAAGGUCCUAUAUCAGAUCACAGCAGCAGUUACUUUCAGAGAUCUGUGGCUACAAGUUACCAUAGAAUCACAAGGGUGGAAAGGACCUACAAGAUCCUAUUCUCCUAUUGCUGUUGCUGGAGUUAGCUUUUCAUGCUGUCUAAACUUGUACUCCUUGUGGAGCUACAGAAGUCUGGUCAGGUAGCUGAUCUAUUUUAACUGUUAUUGAAAGGCCAGUUAUGAGCAAAAAACAUGAAGCUCACCUUGCAAACAUGUGCAAGUAUUUGCCUGUUAGUUUGGGAAGUUUGGUGCUUUUUUGCACCCAGAGCCUCAAAGAUUUUUCUCACUUUGACUGCGCCUGUUCACGAGCUCCCUCCAUCAGAAUGUGAAGCAGCAGCAGUGGAUAGCAGGAAAGGCACCAGGCUUGCUGUAGCUCUCUAACGCAAGGCACUGUCAGAUCAAUUGAAGAGCUCUCCUGUGAAGUGUGUCAGAGUGUUUCGGAAAGGGCCUCCUGUGACUCCUCACUUUGAGAGCAGCAGCAUGAAGCUCAGCUGAGAAGUCCAGUGUGAGAUUGGUACUGCAGUGGCCAAGGCCGUUGUUUGAGUGUUAUCUUUCCUACCUUGCACAACCCGGGGGAGAAAGCUGCAGAGUGCUGACAGGCUGCAGAGACUUUCUGCUCUUCAAAGCUAUUUUCUGCACAGGGCAGUACCUGAAAGUCAAAUCGUUCUGCCCUCAAAGAAGAAAGAUUCAUAUCUACCCGGAGGACCUUUCCCUGGUGCAGUGCAGCGUAGUGGCCAUUGCAAAAACCUCCAGAAGCAGAAAUAAAUGUAAGUAUCAAUUGCAGCCUAAAAUUCCCGCGUCAAACUUAUUGCUUCAGUCUCCGUGUUAGAAGAGAGAGGUGAAGGUUUCCUUUGUGACAAAUUGGAUGCUAGCUGUCCCCUCCAGCAAUGGAGAGAUAACAAGUCCUAAUAAAACCACUUCUCGACUUCACAGGAACAAAUUUCUGCUGCUUCCCCUACAAAAGACUUUCCUUAGCUGAUAUCCUGCCCUGUCAGCAAGUGUUUUGGGAAUUGGUGGCCUCUAAGCAGAACCACCUUUGCAUGUCUUGUGAUACAGUAACACCAAGCUGUUCAGAACUGCAUGCUUUCUCAUGUAAUAGGAAACUCACUUUUUUUUUCUCUCCUCCUGUCUGGCUCCAAGCAACCAAAAUCCUUCAAUAUUUGGAAGAUAAAUGCAUUCAGAGCCAGCAGAGGCCACCGGAGCCACAGGCUAUACUGCUUCCUGCUCUCUGAAGACGUGAAUGAGGAGAGAUGCUGUUGCUCCCAAAUACAACGUAGAGCUUGUUAGAACAGGGGAAGCUGUUCUGUGUGGCCCUUCCUGCAGGGACAAGGGGUUAAAAAAGCAAACCUGGGCAUUUGUGAGGUAAGCACAAAAUGCUGACAGCAGGAAGCCCCUCAGGUUAUAAUGGAUGCAGCUUCACUGUUGAGGCUACAUUUCCAUAACAGAUUGUGGGGGUUAUACAGUCAGUCCCUUUUUAGGACUUCAUAGGCAGUGCUUGGAGACACAAGGGCAUUUCUUGAUGGAAAUAUGAAGGGACUUUCAGCAACACUGACAUGAAGCUUCUUCAAAAUCCAGGCAAGGCAAUAAAGCCUUUUUGCAAUGGAUACAGGGCUCAUGGCCUCAUCAAAGCCCCCUCCAGAAGCAAGAAGUGUGUUAGAAAAACUGGCCACUUAUACAGCUACUGUGGCCAUUCCAUCUCAUAAUUAAAUGAGACAAAGCUUGCAAGAUUUCAACAGGUAAAAGUUUGCAGCCGGGGUCAAGCUUCUGCCUCCUCAUGCUGCAUGCCAGCUUUCUGCUCUCUCUCAUCUAUCAAAGUAAUUAUGCCCAUUACGUUUUUCCUUUCAGGUUUUACCCUCCCAAAUGUUAUUCCUCUGUAUUAAACCUGUGGGGGAAGUGAAUUAUUGGGGGAAGUAACCAGGUUUAAUCCAGGUUUAAUAGGCACAUAGAAAAAGCGUGCUGGGCUGGGAGGGUGGUCCAGUCAGCAUCCUGCUUCUGCAGGCAAAUAGAAAUUGGUCUUGAUGUGUGUAUAUAUCCAGCUUUGUGAUCGGUGAGCUCUUAAUAAUUGGUUUGGUGACCUGCCACCAGUGUUCUCUCUCUGUAGAGCUUUCUCCAGUCCCUGGUUAAUACAACGGGUCACAAAUCCCAUUUGCUUUUGAAUUCUGAGUAAUCCUUUCGUUAAUGCUGCCUAGUGCUUUUUUGGAAGCAUUGAAGGAAAUUGGAGCCCUGUGCUAAUCAGUAACUCUGGCUCUGCAUGUUUGCGAGCUGCUGCCCUGGCUGGCUUUUCCAAAUGACCGCUGCAGCCUGUUUAUGUCAAACACCAACGUGUGCCUCUACAAAGCAGCAAUUGCCUCCGAGCCGUGGUAUUACCCAGGGCACGGGCUGGGAAUGUUGGCUGAGCUUUAGGAGAGCGGUGAGGUGUAAUGGGGUGAUUGCUGGUGCCAUGUUCCUGCUGUUUGUGGGUUGCCCAUGGGUUGAACCGGUUGGGGAACUUUAAUGGUGUCUUCAACAGCUGCAGCAUCUGAGUAAUGGUUGGUGUCUCUUGGCUCUGCUUUAAAUUUUUGUUUCUUGUUUGUUGUUUUUCCUUUUCCUCUGUAGUCUGUCAAUCUCCACGUUGCUGACAAGCAUCACUGCUCGCCCUUUUCCCUCACCCUCCCUGUUCCUAGCCUGUCUGUGGCAUUCCUCACACAAUGCGUGCACGCACCAUUCUGUUUGGAGCUGCUGACAACAGCUUUAUGACCUUGAGGAUAGCAGCACAUUGCAAAGCAGCAUGUAUCGCAUUUAGUUAACUUGCUGUAGCUGGGCACUGUGCUUACAAGCUGCUACUGAGGCCCCUGUGCCCCAGGCAUGUCCUCAGUGCUGCGUGCUCUAGGGCAGCACUGUGCUGUCACUACCCCUUGCUUUGGGCCUUUUUCCUUAUUGAAUCCCUCCAGGAUUCGGGCUGUUUGAUUUCCAAACCCUUUCCUUGGUGCAGAGGGAGAAGCGGGGUGAGGAACUCCUUGCACUGGGAGCACGGUGUGCACAUCGUGGCUCCAGUAUGAGGCAAUCCUCCAAGGUUGGGGUUGCAUUCUGCUUGCUGUCUGUGCAACAGCUCCGUGCUGGGCACUAGAUGGCAGACAGUGACUGGGAAAUCCCAUUGUAGAGUUUCCCAUCCCUACCCCCUUAAAAUCACCUGCUCCAGAGUGGGGAACCUAAACCUCGAGUAAGGAAUCGCUAGUUCUUAACCUGGUGGCUUGAACUCCAAAGGGUCCCAAGGACCAGCAGAGGGUCGUGUUUGCUCCAUAGAGGCUCAGUGGAAUCUUUAGGAUAGGGAAAUAAGGCAAGGAUCAGGCAGCUGGGUUUGAUGAUGGAGGACGCUUGGGGCUGCUGGGCUCCCACGUGUCACGAGGGGGCAGGAGUGGCAAAAAUCCCUCCUCACCCUCCCUUACCGCCUGGGGUUUUGGCUUUGCCAACUGCUGCCCCUGACCCUACAGAGCUAAGGGUGAGACAGUCCCUGCAGUGCCAGGCAGCUGCUUGUCCCCCCAGGCAUGGAGCUGUGCAGCCGCAGACCCUCGCUGGGUGUUGUAGGUCCCCCUAAGCACCUUCCAACAAAAAGGGGAUUAUCUAUAGCUUGUUAGAGUCCUUGCAGGGAGGGAGAAUAAGGCUCUUUGCUCUGAAAUGUUCUCUUCCCUGGGAUUACAAGAUAAUGCAUGUGAAAUGACAUUAGCUCAGCCAGGUUUAUGGAUUAUUUGAAAAUCAAAUUCUUUUAAUCUCAUCCACCAUCUGGCACCAGCGGAGCAGCCAGCUUGCUGCCACUUCCACCCUGCCUGUGUCAGAGCAAGGGGACGUGCACCCUUUGCACUGGUGCCAGCCUUGUCCCCAUUCUUCUGACAGCAUAGAGGUGACAAGUCCGAUGAGCCAUGUAUAGGGAGGGGGUGAGGCUGGGUGACAGCCCUGCCUUCUCGCAGGGCACAGCCAGCCCCUGCUGCUGUUUGGUUGUUUCUUGGUUGGUUUUUUUUUUGUGGAGGGGACACGAAGCCAGGCACGCUGCAGCACUGCUCAGCUCUCGUAUUGGUGUCAUGAGUUGCUUUGCCCUCUUUGCUGAGCUUCAGUAGGACCAUCUAUCUUCCCUGUCUGCUCCAGAACAAUGCUGCGCCUACUACCAAGGAGCGUUAUAAUCUCAGUGCCCAUUUAACAUGAAUGAAAAGCCUUCUGGGACGAUAGGUCACGGUUAUACAAUUUAGCUCAAGUAGAGAAAAGGCCUUUAUAGCUAUGAAUAUAUGAAUACUUAAAAUAUAUACGUAACGUUGGUUAACACCGGGACAUAUAAGCAUAAUAUAUAUACAGCGCUGGGUUAACAGUUUGCUCCUUGGCUCCCUUUUCAGAAGGCUGUGGCUGUUCUGCCUGUCAGCUCCAUCCCAGCAGCAGUUCGUGGCUGGAGUCCCAACUCUGUGGUGGUACAUGGAGUGUUCAUCGUGGGCAGAGGGAUGCUGAGCAACUCAAUGUGGAUUGGGAUGCAAGCACUGUGGAUGCAAUGCCUCUGCCUGCAGGGCCACAGAAAUGACCAGAGGGAUGGAAUACCUCCCCUCCAAGGACAACCAUUGCUGUACAGGGCAGUGUCCCAGGAGUGACCCCAGCACCCACAGAGUCUCAUCAGCACGGCUGCUCUCGUGCCUCUUCGUGAUUUCAGCAAGGAAACAUCCACCUGUUCAGUCUUUUGAGUGCUUUGGGAUUCUCUUUGUCCUGUGUAUUGUGCCAGGCUCCUGUCACUUCCAGUGCUUAGAUCAGUGCUGAAUGUGAGAUUCCAACAUCGCUUAGAGUGCUUGGGUAAGUGGUGUCCUAUUUUCCUCCCCCUAGGACUGUAUAUCUGUGGGCUGGUUUGUUGUUUGUUUUUUUUCCUUAACCACGCUUUUGGCCGUAGUCUCUUUCUGUGAUGUAAGUGUUCUGACAAAUCUGACCCUAUGUUGCACAGCAGUUCUGCAUGAAUGAACCAGGUAGGUCAAGCAAUCUUCCUCUCUUCUUCCUUCCCCAAAGUUGAAAAAAAACAAACCACCACAAAAUAAUGACCCCACAACAUCAAACCUGGUGUGCAGGACCCAGUGUGUGCCGGGGACCCUACAAUAAUAAACCUGUGUGCACAGCCCAGUGCUGAUGAGCACUGACAUAGCUUCAAAUGUAGCAAUGUUCCUGCUGAUGUGUCCCUUCUGAGGAUAUCAGCAUCAGCGAUCCUUUUAGCUGUGAAGCAGGCAGGAUGACUCAUGAACCAUCCCGAUGCAAACAGUGUCAGUACCUUGAUGGUCCAUUGGGUUUCCAACCUGCGUCAGCAAAACCGGAGGUGAAGAGGGAAACGAGAGUGACAACACAACCUGAGUUUGAGGGGAGGAGGGCAAAUGCUAUGGAAAAUAAGAUUCCUACUGAACCUUUGUCUCCACUCCUCACCAGCCCCAUCCUGCAGGGAGAGCCAGCUCUCAGACCUUCAGGCACAGAAUGUUCCUGUCAUUUGUAGACAUUACGAAUGUUGAUUCUUGACAUGUUCUCCAAUGGGCUCCAAAUUCUUUCUCUGCCAACAGCCUGAAAGCAUCUUCCCUGCCUCUCUGCAGAGGUUUUCCAGGGCUGAUUCUCUGGGCACUAUGGGAUGUGUGUCCUCCUGAGUUGGACUGGGGGUUUCCUGGUGACCAUGGGCCAGCUGGCUUUGCAAAUCCCUCCCUAGAAUCUCAUUUAGCCUCCAGUACUGGCUCUUUUUCCCUGCGGUUCCUCCUUAGAGACCUGUUACGAUGAUCCUGCCCUGGCUGGUGUGGUAAGGUUCUCUUUGGAAAGAGCACAGGUGCCUGGAGAUUGGUUUGCAGUGAAUCGUGGGCUGCUGGUGCAAGAAGGCCUCCUUUCAUCAAGGCCACAAGCAGACCAGAAGUGGUAAAUGUGAGAAAGCUGUUAAGAGAAAACUUCAGAUGAUGUGAAUGCACUUGCAAUAAUUAAUGGCUCUUUUUAUCUGAAGAUACUUAAAAACUGACGUCUUCUAGAACCAUGAGAGUGAGCUCUUUGGGAUAAACAAGAAAGAGUGCUUCUUUUUUUAAAGAUGUUUCAACCAAUGCAUGCGUUUAAUGCAUCCCUGUGCAUCUCUCCCUAUAUGAAACCCUUAAGAGAAGAAAAACUGGUGAGAGACCUUGGUUUGGAUCCAGAGGCACCUGGGCUGGAGCAUGACCUGUGAUUCAGAUGUCACCUUCGCUGAGUGCUGAAUGGGGUGAGGAUCCCCCUGUUCUUGCAGCAAAGAGUUUUCUCCACCUUCAUCCUUCCAUCCUUCAUUAUUGCCCCAAUCUGGUGGGUUACCCUUCCCCUAGGUGCUACAGCAGAAGCAAACCUGAUGGAGCUAUAGGCAGGAUGGGUGAGUAUCGAACUGAAGCUGGGCUUCAGUUAAAUCUGGCUUUUGAUGCCCCAGUUGGAUCUUAAAAAGGGUUUCACUGUUCCUGAAGCAGAAAUGUAAGAGAAUGCUCUGCAUCUGUUUACCAUGCAGAAGGGUCAAAAACAGCUCUAUCCCCCCCCCAGGGUCCCUGUAGUUUCUCUAGCAGAAUUAAAAGGCACACGCAGAGCUGUAGCAGCAGGGUGAGGAGGAGAGCAGAGCAGAGGGAACAGAAGCACCGAGCCUUCGUUUCAUCCCACCUGCGCUGCGGUGGUGACUUGCCCCGAAGAGUCGCAGGAAAAUCCUGUGUAAAUGGAACAUAAAUGUUUUAUGAAUUCAGCCCUGGUGGAGUAAAUUAAAGGGUCAUUAAUGGCCUCAUUAAAGAGCUUUGCACUUUGUUCUGAAUUAUGAAAGCUAUUGUGCAAUGUUAAACUAAAUGGAGUUUUCGUUGAGAUUUUGAAACUCUUUGACUAGUUCUCUCCCCCCCUUUCUCUUUAUUUCUUUUCUUCCCCUUCUUUUUUUAGUUGUUGAUGAGAAAUGUCUUUUGAGGGAGCCGCCUGUAGUGCUACAAACUAGAUUUCAAUUAUAAAUCUUCUUAUGCUCCACUAAUUGCCCAGAAUUUUUCUCGAGAGCUGCCUGAGGUUAAUGCUGAUGAAGAAAGAGCUCUUUUGUCUUUUCUUCAACUGGGGCCUCCCUCACCGCCUCUGGCGAGACGUCAAGCUGGGAAUUACCUCCAGUGACACCCAGAUGGGACGUGGAAGGAACAACAGAUGAGUUGGUCAUGGCUUCUUCUUGGCUCGCUGCGGGUUGGGGAGAAGCCUUCACAAUCUCCAGGGCUGCCAGCUGACCCAGGGAAGUGUUGGAGUCCAUCUCCUCCAUUUUACUCUUCCACUCUGAAAGAGUUGGUGGUACAUUGGCACAGCUGCACAGGGAGGUGGUGGAGUCACCAUCCCCAUCAAGAACCAUGAGGAUGUGGCACUGAGGGAUGUGGUCAGUGGGCAUGGCAGGGUUGGGUCAAUAGUUGGACUAAAUGAUCUCUUCAACAAGCCCUCCCUGCCCCACUAAUGCUCAUUUUCUUUGACUUGUUGACUUGCCCUCUGUAAAUUCUUUGCACAGCGACAUGACAAAUUAAACCCCUUAUUAACUAAUUAAGCUAUUUCUCCAACCAGGCAGGAAGGCAAGAGGAGGUUGUUAUUCUUCCUAUUUUUAAAUACCUGCGAGAGGCACACGUGUCUGAGAUGCAUGGUGGAUGGCUCCAGCUGAGCUGUACCAUUGCAGCCUGACACCUUUAUAACAAAAUCCAUCAGGGCAGGAACUUGCUUGUUUUUCUGUUUGGUUUGCACAUCUGGGGGUAAUUUUGGUGUCCAGAAGGGUCCCCUGUGCAUCCAGGUGUUCAAGAACCAUGGAGUUGUGGCACUGAGAGACAUGUGGUUAGGGACAUGGUGGGGACGGGUCAACAGUUGGGCUGGAUGGCCUUAGAGGUCUUUUACAACUCUUAAUGAUUGCUUGAUUCUGUGAUUCUUUAAUGGGCCUUACAGCUCAGGGCAGGCACAGAAUCUAGUGCUGCAGCCUGCAAGCCCAGGUUUGCUUUGAAGUUGGUGAGGUUUUCUGGCAUUUCAGCAAAAUCAGAGCUGAGCAGCAACAUGUCCUACACUAGUGAUGUCCUCUCCUGGUCUCCUUGCAGCUCCAUCAUCCCUCUUUCUUCGAAGCAUGGCCCCCUGCAUGGACCUGAAUGCAGCCUUGUAUCAUCAGCUGACAAAGCCCUGUGGUCAUGCUGUUGUGAGCAGGAAUGCCCGAUCCUCUGAGGAGAUGCUUCAGCACCAAACUUCUGCCUGAUGCUGAUGGGCUCACGUGGAGCACAGACCUUCAUGUUGGAGAGCUUUUAUGCCAAGGAGUGAGGAUUUGUUCCUUCUCCCAUCUGUUUCUGUGGCUGAAGGUGCCCUGUGAACUGUACUUCUGAGACAACCAGGUGCUCAGAACUGCUCAGGACCACCAAUGAAAUCUGCUGCUGGGACUCCAUCCUGCUGCUGCUGGAGAAGGUGACACACUGCUGAUAAAAGGGAGUAUCAAUGCUGUGAGCAUUUGAACUGACAGCUACCAGAUUGAGAGCUGCCUGUAGGAGCUGAAUCCUGUAUCCUCCACACCUCUGCAUCCUGGCUUGGCUGGACGGGGCAAGAACAAGGAUUGCCCAUAAGAACCACAUUGGAGAGACCUCCCUGGAAGGAUGUGAGCUUCGAAGUCCUGCAGAGUGUGUGGGCAGCAGACUGGAGGAGACACAAUCAACCUCAGAACACCAGCUCCUUCCUUGCAAAAUAAGCCUCAGUCCAGCCAGCAAGAAAGCAGUAGCUGCCCUAUUUCCAGGGCUGGUGGGAGUGCAAAGCCCCCUCAUCCCCAUAUUCAUCAUUGUCAGCUGCAGGUUCUUCUGUAGCUUCCAACUGGUCAGGACUGUGCCAUGCCCAUGGGACCCAGGGAUCAUCCUUGCACCAUGAACUACUGCCAGGACUUGCUGUGUUCUCAUGUCACGUAUGUCCAUGCAUCUGCAUCUGAGCAUGUUCUUGACUUGCCCAGUACACACAGGUACACUGUAUGUGCUCUAUGCUUAUAUGUGUGUUACCUUUUUGUUGUAUCCAGACCUCCAUUGCAUACAUCAUCAGGAUGCUGAUUGCUUUCCCCAUGAUGGGCUGGACUGUGAAGACCAUUGAGCUGCCAACGUACCUGUGGACUCUGGGACACCAAUGCACCUGUAGAGAGCUAGUGAAUCACAACAUCACUUACGUGUUAACUGCUUUGAAAUGCAAAGCAUUCCCUUGAUAUUUCAGCAUUUUCCACCCGGUCCAAAGCAAAACCCCAUAGGUAGAGAACAAUGGGGAGCUGCUCGAGGUAAGGCUUCCACCUUGUGUCUGGUACAACGAUUGCAUCAGCAUUCAUUACAAUGGAACUUGCUGCCCUUUAAAGCAGUUCGGCACAUGCUGUAUUCUCAGAUUUCCUGCUUCUGACUGGCUCUGCUCUGAACUGCUUCCCUGCAUGCAUUCAAAACAGUUUGUAAUUAACAAUUACAUUGUUUUCCUUUGAACGUCAACGGAGAUACAGAAAACAGAGAUUGAGAGCCGAGAUGUUGGUAUGACUGGGUAUUAUUUUGCUUUCAUGAGAUGACUUUUCCUAUUUUGCUGCAGAUUUUGGUGCUGAUGAAAAGCUGGGGCAGUGUGCAGGCAGCCAGGAGGCUUUCUCUCCUAUCACUAUGGGGAAGCAGGAAAUUUAGGCUUGGACACCCUGCCCAUGCAGAACGCAUUCUGGACACUAUUGCUGCAUUCACAAAAUAGCGCUCAGCAGAAAAACCUGCAGAGAAGGAUGAGGAAAACCAAGACUAUACAGGCUUCUGAGCUACCAGCAUGUUGAAGCAGAGGGGGCUGUGUUUGAAGCCUUGGCUCUGUGAACAAGAAGCAGAUUACAAACUUCUUCAGUUCUGGUGCAGAGCUUGGAUGGGAGGAUUGCUCCCUCCAUCUGUUCCUCGCAUAGGCAAUCUGCCUUCGAAAGCCAUCACUGCUUAAGUAUGAAGGAAGCGUAAAUGCAGGAGCACCUGAAUAUUGUUUAACAGAUGGGGACACACAUUUUUUUUCAGGCAGAGAUUUCCUUUCCAUAGCCCCACUUAUUUUAGAGGUGUUUUUCAGGACCAUCUUUCCAAUGCCUGGAAGUAGGAUCCCAGCCUGCUGUUUGUGAUGAUGGUAGUUAAUUUCCAGCAACUCACUUUGCUGUUGUGACACUUGUGAAGAUUGCUUUCAUCUCUUUCCUUUACAACUAAGCUCACGUUUUUCAUCCAAGCCUUCCGGGAGGAUCAGACUCUGCCACACACUUUGCCCUGGGACCAAAAAAGUGGCUGGAGUUCAUCCCUACCAUUAUGACACACUCAGGCAAACCUGAUGAAGCACACAGCCAGGCUGCAGCCCAUGGAUGCCUCUACCCACAUGCACAUCUUCCUUCCCUGCCCUUCUCACUUGUCCUUGCCCCUUUUGCAUUAAUAUGUACAGUACAGUGGCUUUUGGCUUCAUCAACCCAAGGACCGCUACAUAUCUUCCAAUGGGAGCGCUGUUGUAGACUGCUGAGCGGCAGAAAGGAAAGUGCUUUUCUUUGCAACUUUAUGACAAUUCCAUGCAAACAGAUGGUGGACCCCAUGCCUCAGGGACUGCACGUUGAAGCCACCACCUCGCUGAGUUGGUGACACCAAAAGAAAUGUGUCAUAUGGACCCCCACAAAAAGCCUAUCUACCGCAAGAAGUCACAGCUGGAGUAGAAGGGGAAGGAAGAAGUGAAAAUAUAGGCACAGAGGAUGGACCUCAGAUUUCUCAGUUUUUAUCUCACUUCCCCUUCCCGUUCUUUAGUCACCAUAUUCUUUCCAGGAGAAAGUGGCUGUUGGAAAACAGAGAGAGAAGACGACAAACACUGCUGUGGAAUUAUUUAACGAGCCAGAAUGAAUUGCAUUCGAAAUCAUUUAAAUGGGAUCUGGGAGUAUUUAACUGCAGCACAGGAACUUAACAAGAGUGGGAAAGGAUUUUGUGCUAAUUGCUGGCAAUGAUAUACCUACGGAGAGAGAACAUGCAGCAAUUAGUAAGUAAGGCUGUAAUUUCAGCCUAAGGUCCCCGCCUGCCCUGGAAUAUGGCAUUGGAUUAUCUGCUGCAAGGAAGACAGGGACUUGGUCUGCAGGUGACCAAAGGGCAGCAGAUGAGGUUCUCAUUAAGGAGUUAUUAGCCAAGAUUGUCACACAGGAGAUGGGUCUGCUCAGACCCCACUGCACCUUUCCCAACUUGAUUUAGUUCAAAUUGAUAAAACUGAGGGAAACCAAGAGUUCCAUCCCAACAUGUGCUGUGCUGCUUUGUCCCUUCCUACCUGCAGGGACUGAUCCCACCACCAGCACCUGCUCUGAGCUGUGAGUCUACACAGAGCACAGUAGGCUGAGAACCUACAUGGCCAUUUCUUGGUGGGUUAGGAAGCCAGGCCAUCCUCUGUACUGCUGGGUUUGGGAAAUGGUGAGCUGGAAGCUGAGCUGGAGAACAAGGACCUGUUUUUCCUAUAGAAAUACCAAUACAGUCAGACCAUAUGAUGCCACUGUUCUAAACCUGCAAACCUCAGGUACAACUGAUACCCACCAACAUGUCCACAAGCCCAGCUCCCAAAGAAUUAUCCAACAGCAUCCAACUAUCGGCUAAGACAGAAAGCCACCCUGCCUGGCUAAGCCUCUGCCACCUGACUGUGGCACAAAGCCUCUGCUCAUUGUUUUCUAUCUCUGUUCUCUCCCCACGAUGCCUCUGUCAUUGGUUUUUGUCUUUCAAUCAGUUUUCAUCUCAGUAAUUCCCAUUCAAUGGUUAGUCUCUGAUCUUUCUAAUUGAGAUCAGAGCUUCAUGUAAUAGGGAGGGGGGAGGGAGACUAUUUUUAAUUUGCUGCGUUCCCAUUAAUAACAAGUUCUAAUUAAAAAACCUCCAUCUUCCAUCCUCCCAAGUUCAGAGGAAAACUGCGACUUCUGUUGGAAUCUUCUCCUGAUAAAUUGGUACUACAGCCUCCUAGAACAGCUGGUCCUCUUUAGCAGGCAUCGUAAUUAAUGGGAAUAAUAAAUGCAUUCAAAGCAG